GAUCAAGCGCGAGAAGGGCGUUUGGUGGAUGCCUUGGCAGCAAGAGGCGAUGAAGGACGUGAUACUCUGCGAUAAGCCGUGAGGAGCUGAGAAUAAGCUUUGAUCCGCGGAUUUCCGAAUGGGGCAACCCAACUGACAGUGACCUAUUAUCUACUUCGGUAGUUAAUAGGCUGCUGAAACAGUUACUUAUUACCUGAAUACAUAGGGUUUUAAGAGCAAACCCGGGGAACUGAAACAUCUAAGUACCCGGAGGAAAGGAAAGUAAUAACUACUCCCCUAGUAGUGGCGAGCGAACGGGGACCAGCCGAGCAACGUAGUGAACUGGAAGGACCUGGGAAGGUCCGCCAUAGAGGGUGACAGCCCCGUACAGGUAGCGAAGUUGACGUAUUAAGUAGGGCGGGACACGUGAAAUCCUGUCUGAAGAUCGGAGGACCACCUUCGAAGGCUAAGUACUCCUUGCUGACCGAUAGCGAACCAGUACCGUGAGGGAAAGGUGAAAAGCACCCCGACGAGGGGAGUGAAACAGUACCUGAAACCGAACGCCUACAAUCAGUCGGAGCUUGACUGGACUCUUAUGACAAUCUGACGCAAUUCUGCUUCCCGACACAGGGAGAUGGCAGAAUGGCUGACGGGACUUUCGCAGUAUUGAUGUUCAUCGCGGGUUUCUUCGAUGCACAGGCCAAUUACUGCGGGACAGAGGUUGGUUGCCUGGGAAAGACCGAUCGGACGCCGCGACUGGCGUUCUCGGCAGGGCAAUCGAUAGAGCGGCGCGCGCCGCAGCAGAGCGAGAUCUACUUCCGCUAUGACCUGGGACACAAACGUGGUCCUUUCGGUCAAUCGGCGGGUUUCUCGGUCGGCGAGCAGGGAGAGGUCUGGAUCGGUUACGGAUCCACAUGGACCUACGAAUUCAGCCCCCGGCUCUACGCCGAGCUGCAUUCGAUGCCCGGAAUAUACCUCGACAACGGCGGAUUUGACCUUGGCGGACCGAUCGAGUUCCGCUCGGGCAUCGAAUUCGGCUACGAAAACCGGAUGGGAUGGCGGUAUGCGCUGAGUUACGACCACAGGUCGAACGCGGGCAUCUACGACAAGAACCCCGGCAUCGAAACCGUUCAGUUUCGGGUCAGUAUUCCACUGAAAUGAUUGUUAUAAGUGUCCAGUCUUGUGACGGCGUACCUUUUGUAUAAUGGGUCAUCGACUUGGUCUAUCUAGCAAGCCUAAGCCAUUAGGUGUAAGCGCAGCGAAAGCGAGUCUGAAUAGGGCGACGAGUUAGAUGGAUCAGACCCGAAACCGAGUGAUCUAGGCAUGUCCAGGAUGAAGGUAAGGUAACACUUACUGGAGGUCCGAACCCACACCUGUUGAAAAAGGUCGGGAUGAGGUGUGCCUAGGGGUGAAAGGCCAAUCAAACUCGGAGAUAGCUGGUUCUCUGCGAAAUCUAUUUAGGUAGAGCGUCAUCCGAAUACCCCGGGGGGUAGAGCACUGGAUGGGUAAUGGGGCCCCACAGGCUUACUGAUCCUAACCAAACUCCGAAUACCCGGGAGUACUAGAUGGCAGACACACUGCGGGUGCUAACGCCCGUAGUGGAGAGGGAAACAACCCUGACCUCCAGCUAAGGCCCCUAAUUCAUGGCUAAGUGGGAAAGCAGGUGAGACGUCCAAAACAACCAGGAGGUUGGCUUAGAAGCAGCCAUCCUUUAAAGAUAGCGUAACAGCUCACUGGUCUAAUCAAGAUGUCUUGCGGCGAAGAUGUAACGGGGCUCAAGCCAUGAGCCGAAGCUGAGGACGCGAGAGCGUGGUAGCAGAGCGUAGUGUGAUAUAGUCUCAUUCCUCCUUAGCGGGUUCGCCCGCAUUGGAGGAGAGAGGCUUUCGAUGAAGCCGGGGCGUGAGCCAUCCGGUGGAGAGAUCACUAGUGAGAAUGAUGACAUGAGUAGCGACAAGGAGUGUGAGAGACACUCCCGCCGAAAGUCCAAGGGUUCCUGCUUAAAGCUAAUCUGAGCAGGGUAAGCCGACCCCUAAGGCGAGGCCGAAAGGCGUAGUCGAUGGGAAUCCGGUUAAUAUUCCGGAGCCAGGAAGAUGUGACGGAUCAUGAAGGUAGUUCAUCCUUAUCGGAUUGAAUGGGCUGCUGAUUGGUCCCUGGAAAUAGCCUUCCAUUAGAUCGUACCCUAAACCGACACAGGUGGACUGGUAGAGAAUACCAAGGCGCUUGAGAGAACGACGUUGAAGGAACUCGGCAAAAUACCUCCGUAAGUUCGCGAGAAGGAGGCCCGGGUUCUAGGCAACUAGAGCUUGGGGGCACAAACCAGGGGGUGGCGACUGUUUACUAAAAACACAGGGCUCUGCGAAGUCGCAAGACGACGUAUAGGGUCUGACGCCUGCCCGGUGCCUGAAGGUUAAAAGGAGGGGUGAGAGCUCCGAAUUGAAGCCCAGGUAAACGGCGGCCGUAACUAUAACGGUCCUAAGGUAGCGAAAUUCCUUGUCGGGUAAGUUCCGACCUGCACGAAUGGCGUAACGACUUCCCCGCUGUCUCCAACGUCGACUCAGCGAAAUUGAAUUGCCUGUCAAGAUGCAGGCUUCCCGCGGUUAGACGGAAAGACCCCGUGCACCUUUACUACAGCUUCACAUUGGCAUCAGGCCAUGCAUGUGCAGGAUAGGUGGUAGGCUUUGAAACGUGGACGCCAGUCUGCGUGGAGCCUCCCUUGAGAUACCACCCUUGCAUUGCUUGAUGUCUAACCGCGACCCCUUAUCGGGGCCCGGGACCCUGUGUGGCGGGUAGUUUGACUGGGGCGGUCGCCUCCCAAAGAGUAACGGAGGCGUGCGAAGGUUGGCUCAGAGCGGUCGGAAAUCGCUCGUUGAGUGCAAUGGCAGAAGCCAGCCUGACUGCGAGACUGACAAGUCGAGCAGAGUCGAAAGACGGCCAUAGUGAUCCGGUGGUCCCGAGUGGAAGGGCCAUCGCUCAACGGAUAAAAGGUACGCCGGGGAUAACAGGCUGAUACUGCCCAAGAGUCCAUAUCGACGGCAGUGUUUGGCACCUCGAUGUCGGCUCAUCUCAUCCUGGGGCUGGAGCAGGUCCCAAGGGUACGGCUGUUCGCCGUUUAAAGAGGUACGUGAGCUGGGUUUAGAACGUCGUGAGACAGUUCGGUCCCUAUCUGCCGUGGGUGUAGGAUACUUGAGAGGAGUUGCCCCUAGUACGAGAGGACCGGGGUGAACGAUCCACUGGUGGACCUGUUGUCGUGCCAACGGCAGUGCAGGGUAGCUAUGAUCGGACAGGAUAACCGCUGAAGGCAUCUAAGCGGGAAGCCCCCCUCAAAACAAGGUAUCCCUGAGGACCGUGGUAGACCACCACGUCGAUAGGCCGGAGAUGUAAGCGCAGUAAUGCGUUCAGUUGACCGGUACUAAUUGUCCGAUAGGCUUGAUUUG
This 3413-nucleotide ribosomal RNA is filed under the name Pseudaestuariivita atlantica. RNAcentral's name for it is "Aestuariivita atlantica Bacterial large subunit ribosomal RNA". It matches the Rfam family "Bacterial large subunit ribosomal RNA". The record is from Rfam by way of RNAcentral. Lineage: Bacteria; Pseudomonadati; Pseudomonadota; Alphaproteobacteria; Rhodobacterales; Paracoccaceae.